Molecule: ribosomal RNA, 468 nt
Filed under: uncultured bacterium
Lineage: Bacteria
Description: partial 16S ribosomal RNA
Rfam family: Bacterial small subunit ribosomal RNA
Source: RNAcentral
GACGAACGCUGGCGGCGUGCUUAACACAUGCAAGUCGAACGGAAAGGCCCUGCUUUUGUGGGGUGCUCGAGUGGCGAACGGGUGAGUAACACGUGAGUAACCUGCCCUUGACUUUGGGAUAUCUUCAGGAAACUGGGGCUAAUACCGGAUAGGAGCUCCUGCUGCAUGGUGGGGGUUGGAAAGUUUCGGCGGUUGGGGAUGGACUCGCGGCUUAUCAGCUUGUUGGUGGGGUAGUGGCUUACCAAGGCUUUGACGGGUAGCCGGCCUGAGAGGGUGACCGGCCACAUUGGGACUGAGAUACGGCCCAGACUCCUACGGGAGGCAGCAGUGGGGAAUAUUGCACAAUGGGCGGAAGCCUGAUGCAGCAACGCCGUGUGCGGGAUGACGGCCUUCGGGUUGUAAACCGCUUUCGCCUGUGACGAAGCGUGAGUGACGGUAAUGGGUAAAGAAGCACCGGCUAACUACGUG